Molecule: long non-coding RNA, 360 nt
Organism: Lolium rigidum
Lineage: Eukaryota; Viridiplantae; Streptophyta; Magnoliopsida; Poales; Poaceae
Exons: 3
Source: RefSeq, a predicted model, not a curated record
AAAAUCGCAGGCUUCUUCAGUUAAACAAGAUACUACUACUAUAUAAUGGAAAAGUUAUAUAGGGCAAGCCUAAAUCUUCACAGCACCUCCUUGUAGAUACUACUACUCCAUUAUUUUCGGUGACAUGGGAAGGUAAAUAACUGAUGCAGAAAUUAUAGAACCCUAUGUGAAGAAAAUUAUGGAUGAGAAUCGUGGAUAGAAGUAUGGGUGUGGAGCCAUGGGGUGUUCAAAAGUUUUGCAUGCUCCUGAGUUUGUUCAAAAUCAUCUAAAACUCAAGCACCCUAACUUGGUCUCUGUGUUGACUUCUGGAUUUUUUUGGUGAUAUCACCUGAUCAUGUAUGCUGCUCAGUUGUGCGGUUG